GGCGGCGUGCCUAAUACAUGCAAGUCGAGCGAGCUUACGUUAACUGAAGGUGCUUGCACCUGACGUUGAUGUUAAGCGAGCGGCGGAUGGGUGAGUAACACGUGGGUAACCUGCCUUCAAGUGGGGGAUAACAUUUGGAAACAGAUGCUAAUACCGCAUAACAACUAAAACCGCAUGGUUUUAGUUUGAAAGGCGGCUUCGGCUGUCGCUUGAAGAUGGACCCGCGGCGUAUUAGCUAGUUGGUGAGAUAACGGCCCACCAAGGCGAUGAUACGUAGCCGACCUGAGAGGGUAAUCGGCCACAUUGGGACUGAGACACGGCCCAAACUCCUACGGGAGGCAGCAGUAGGGAAUCUUCCACAAUGGACGCAAGUCUGAUGGAGCAACGCCGCGUGAGUGAAGAAGGUUUUCGGAUCGUAAAACUCUGUUGUUGAAGAAGAACGAGGAUGAGAGUAACUGUUCAUCCUGUGACGGUAUUCAACCAGAAAGCCACGGCUAACUACGUG
Molecule: ribosomal RNA, 505 nt
Filed under: uncultured Lactobacillus sp.
Lineage: Bacteria; Bacillati; Bacillota; Bacilli; Lactobacillales; Lactobacillaceae
Description: bacterial SSU rRNA
Rfam family: Bacterial small subunit ribosomal RNA
Source: RNAcentral